GAUGAACGCUGGCGGCGUGCCUAAUACAUGCAAGUCGAGCGAACAGACGAGGAGCUUGCUCCUCUGACGUUAUCGGCGGACGGGUGAGUAACACGUGGAUAACCUACCUAUAAGACUGGGAUAACUUCGGGAAACCGGAGCUAAUACCGGAUAAUAUAUUGAACCGCAUGGUUCAAUAGUGAAAGACGGUUUUGCUGUCACUUAUAGAUUGAUCCGCGCCGCAUUAGCUAGUUGGUAAGGUAACGGCUUACCAAGGCAACGAUGCGUAGCCGACCUGAGAGGGUGAUCGGACACACUGGAACUGAGACACGGUCCAGACUCCUACGGGAGGCAGCAGUAGAGAAUCUUACGCAAUGGGCGAAAGCCUGACGGAGCAACGCCGCGUGAGUGAUGAAGGUCUUCGGAUCGUAAAACUCUGUUAUUAGGGAAGAACAAAUGUGUAAGUAACUAUGCACGUCUUGACGGUACCUAAUCAGAAAGCCACGGCUAACUACGUG
This 497-nucleotide ribosomal RNA is filed under the name uncultured bacterium. RNAcentral describes it as "partial 16S ribosomal RNA". It matches the Rfam family "Bacterial small subunit ribosomal RNA", at positions 28 to 507 of the family's 1533-position model. The record is from RNAcentral.